UACGUAGGUGGCAAGCGUUGUCCGGAUUUACUGGGCGUAAAGAGCGCGCAGGCGGUCGUUCAAGUCGCGUGUGAAAGCCCCCGGCUCAACUGGGGAGGGUCACGCGAUACUGAUCGACUCGAAGGCAGGAGAGGGUAGUGGAAUUCCCGGUGUAGUGGUGAAAUGCGUAGAUAUCGGGAGGAACACCAGUGGCGAAGGCGACUACCUGGCCUGUUUCUUGACACUGAGGCACGAAAGCGUGGGGAGCAAACAGG
Molecule: ribosomal RNA, 254 nt
Filed under: uncultured bacterium
Lineage: Bacteria
Description: partial 16S ribosomal RNA
Rfam family: Bacterial small subunit ribosomal RNA
Source: RNAcentral